This 330-nucleotide ribosomal RNA is filed under the name uncultured bacterium. RNAcentral's name for it is "bacterial SSU rRNA". It matches the Rfam family "Bacterial small subunit ribosomal RNA", at positions 28 to 359 of the family's 1533-position model. The record is from RNAcentral.
GAUGAACGCUAGCGGCAGGCCUAACACAUGCAAGUCGAGGGGCAGCACGUCUUCGGAUGGUGGCGACCGGCGCACGGGUGCGUAACGCGUAUGCAACCUACCUCUUACAGUGGGAUAGCCCAGAGAAAUUUGGAUUAAUACCGCAUAGUAUACAGAUUCAGCAUUGGGACUGUAUUAAACAUUUAUGGGUAAGAGAUGGGCAUGCGUUCUAUUAGUUAGUUGGAGUGGUAACGGCACCCCAAGACAGCGAUAGAUAGGGGCCCUGAGAGGGGGAUCCCCCANACUGGUACUGAGACACGGACCAGACUCCUACGGGAGGCAGCAGUGAGG